Long non-coding RNA from Gadus morhua (Atlantic cod), 752 nucleotides. RefSeq lists it as uncharacterized. The transcript has 3 exons. The record is from RefSeq and is a predicted model, not a curated record. Lineage: Eukaryota; Metazoa; Chordata; Actinopteri; Gadiformes; Gadidae.
CACACGAAUCCAAAACGAAACCGGGUAGAUUUGAAACCACCUCCGAGGGUGGUUUCAGAAGUUUGCGGUUUCGGUCAGCGGAUUCGCCGGCUUCGUGUGGACGGAAGGCCGAACCGUACAAGACCUUUGCGGUUUCGCCAUGAAAUCGGCUUCGUGUGGACGGGGCCUAGGGGCCGUGGACUGCGGUACCACUUUCCUGAAGAGGAACUCGCUGGCUCUAAAUCCCUGAUCAAAACGUUUCUUCACACGCAAGCACUCGUCACUUGAAUUUGUUGACAUGAACGAUAACGAGAAUCUGUCAGCCUGUGAGUCCAGGGUGACUAUGGAGGUCACCACGAAUCAAUGGGAAACUCAACCCAGCAGUGCUGUGGCUGCAUGUAACUGUUUCACAUGACUCUUCCUUCUGCAUGAUCAUCUAUCUAAAGAGGGACGAGACCUCCACCUCCUCAUCAAGGCCUUCUCGAGGGACAGACAAGGUUUUUAUUUAGGUUAUUCCUUUUUGUAAGGCCACAAGGCUUUGAACACGGUAAAUGAAUCACAAUUUUAACCCAUAAUUUCUUUAGGUUGGCGAAGAAAAUAUAAGGGUGCUGUAUAAGCGCAACCUGGAGUUGGAUAAUGUUAAAAUAAAAUUGCAGAUAAAAAAACUCAAGCUGGAGAUUCAGCUCCUCGAGAGGGUAUACGGCUAUUAUCUUUAAUACUUAGAUUUUCUUUGGUUAAGCUAGACUGACCCUCUGAAAUGUUUUCUUCUACUU